CCUCCUCCGCAAGCGGGAGCACGCCCGGGAUUUCGCAUGCUGCCUUAAAAACGGAUAUCCGAGCCUGCCUAGCUGAGGCGUGCAGGGAGCAGUUGUUGCUGCGAUACCUCUGGUGUAGUACCUCUUCCAGCUGGCUGUUCAUCUGUAUCCUUUGUAAUAUCCUCCAUAAAUAAUGAGUUGAUGAUGUUUGGCAGCAUUCCUGGCCUCUACCUACUAGAUGCAGCAGCACUCUUUCAAUUGUGACCAUCAAAAAUGUCUCCUGACAUCACCAAAAGUCUACUGUGGAAGUUACAACAUCCAGGAUUGCGAAUCAACUAUUUUAAAUGAAAGGAAGACUAGAUGCACCAGAUUGUGAAUGAGUGGCGUAUGAAUGAUCCAGUUUUUGUGCAUCCUCGCCAGCAUUUGAUACUGUCAGCUUUCAAUUUCAGCCACUCCCUAGAAGUCAGGCCCCCCUUCCCCAGGGCUGCUGCAGUUUGCUGGGGGUCCACUGCAGACCCUAUUCACCUGGGUCCCGCCUGCACCUGGAGGUAUCACCAGUGGAGGCUGCAGAACAGCAAAGAUGGCAGCCUGUUCCUUCCUCUGGGAGCUCCUUCCCAGAGGGACACCAACCUGAUGCCGGCUGGAAUGCUUCUGUAUGAGGUGUCUGGAGGCCCCUGUUGGGGGGUCUCACCCAGUCUGGAAUAACAAGACCUGCUUAAAUCAGCAGUCUGGCUGCCUCUUGGCAAAAUAGGUGUGUUGCAUUGGGGGAAAACUCCCUCAUCCGGGCUGCCCUAACUCUUCAGAGCUAGCAGGCAGAAAAGACUAAGAUGGCUGAUCGGUGGAGACCACAGUGCCCCUCCUGCUAGGGGCUCAUCUCAGAGAGAUCAGAGUUCUGUCUAUAACCCCCUGGCUGGAGAUGCUGAAAUGACCACAGGGAGGCCCUGCCUGGUGAGGAGGCAUGGGUCAGGGUCCCACUUAAAGAAGCAGCCUGGCCAUGAUCUGUCACAGCCAUUGCACUGUGCUGUGGGGAACUCCUCCUAGUCCAAACCGCCCUGUCUCGCUGGCACUUGCAGGGGAAAAUGGCUGACUGGAGCUGCAGUGAUGGUGGUCACCCCUCCCCGCCAGGAACUCAGUAGUCUUAGGCAGUUCCCAGCAUACUGUCCUGGCUGGCAGGGAUUCCAAGCCCGUGGGUCUUAGCUUGUGGGGUUCUGUGAGAGUGGAGCCUGCUGAGCGAGGCCGCUUGGCUCUCUGGCUUCAGCCCUUUUCCUAUAGGAGUGGAUAGAUCUCCUGCCUCACUGGAUUUGCUGGAGCUAAAAUAUGCAAAACACCUGCAUCUCAGGGUCUGCCCAAGUGGCUGCUGACCUGAGCAGUUGCUGUGGGUCUGCACAGCUCUGUGCUUUGGACCCAAGGCCCUGGUGAUGUGGGCUUACUAGGGAAUCUCCUAAUCUGUGGGUUGCAAAGAUCUGUGGGAAAAGCGCGGUUUCCUGGGUGGGGUAGCACAAUCACUCACUGCCUCCUUUGGCUGGGGGAAGGAGCUCCCUUUGCCCCGUGCAGCUCCCAGGUGGGCCCUCACUCCACCCUGUUUUUGCUCACUGUCUGAGGGUUGUGCCAACUGCCUAGUCAGUCCCAAUGAGAGAACCUGGGUACCUCAGCUGAAGAUGCAGAAUUCACUCACCCUUUCGUUCUUCUUGUGGGAGCCUCAGACUGGAGCUGUUUUUACUCGGCCAUCAUGGCACCUCCCCCACAACUUACAAAAAUUAAUAGCACUUCUCUGUAUCAGUAAUAAUGAAGCAUAAGGUAUAAUGAAAAGCUAAGUUACUAUUCACAACAACACAUAUAGAAAAGUUUCUAGAAAUUAAUUCAACCAAAAAUACUCAAAGACUU
Molecule: long non-coding RNA, 1863 nt
Organism: Piliocolobus tephrosceles (Ugandan red Colobus)
Lineage: Eukaryota; Metazoa; Chordata; Mammalia; Primates; Cercopithecidae
Exons: 5
Source: RefSeq, a predicted model, not a curated record